Molecule: ribosomal RNA, 465 nt
Filed under: uncultured bacterium
Lineage: Bacteria
Description: partial 16S ribosomal RNA
Rfam family: Bacterial small subunit ribosomal RNA
Source: RNAcentral
GACGAACGCUGGCGGCGUGCUUAACACAUGCAAGUCGAACGGAAAGGCCCCUUUGGGGGUACUCGAGUGGCGAACGGGUGAGUAACACGUGAGUAACCUGCCCUUGACUUCGGGAUAACUUCAGGAAACUGGGGCUAAUACCGGAUAGGAAUCCUUGCUGCAUGGUGGGGGUUGGAAAGCUUCGGCGGUUUUGGAUGGACUCGCGGCUUAUCAGCUUGUUGGUGGGGUAGUGGCUUACCAAGGCUUUGACGGGUAGCCGGCCUGAGAGGGCGACCGGCCACAUUGGGACUGAGAUACGGCCCAGACUCCUACGGGAGGCAGCAGUGGGGAAUAUUGCACAAUGGGCGGAAGCCUGAUGCAGCGACGCCGCGUGCGGGAUGACGGCCUUCGGGUUGUAGACCGCUUUCAGCAGGGGCGAAGCUUGUGGUGACGGUACCUGCAGGAGAAGCACCGGCUAACUACGUG